GAUGAAGAACGUAGCGAAAUGCGAUAAGUAAUGUGAAUUGCAGAAUACAGUGAAUCAUCGAAUCUUUGAACGCACCUUGCGCUCCUUGGUAUUCCGAGGAGCAUGCCUGUUUGAGUGUCAUUAAUAUAUCAACCUUCUCUUUUUUGAGUUGUUUGGAUGUGGGGGUUUGCUGGCCUCUUAAAUGAUUCAGCUCCCCUGAAAUGCAUUAGCAGAACAACCUGUUCAUUAGCGUGAUAAUUAUCUAUGCUAUUGAAUGUGAGGGCAGUUCAGCUUUCUAACCGUCCUUGGACAAUUCAUCAUUAAUGUGACCUCAAAUCAGGUAGGACUACCCGCUGAACUUAAGCAUAUCAAUAAGCGGAGGA
RNAcentral lists this unclassified non-coding RNA (362 nucleotides) under soil metagenome. RNAcentral describes it as "partial contains 5.8S ribosomal RNA, internal transcribed spacer 2, and large subunit ribosomal RNA". The stretch from base 1 to 120 matches the Rfam family "5.8S ribosomal RNA", at positions 35 to 154 of the family's 154-position model. The record is from RNAcentral.